CUUGGUCAUUUAGAGGAAGUAAAAGUCGUAACAAGGUUUCCGUAGGUGAACCUGCGGAAGGAUCAUUAACGAAUAUAAUUCGGAGGGGUUGUAGCUGGCUUCGGAAACGACGCAUGUGCACGCUCUUCUGUUUUUCACAACUCACCCGUGCACCUAAUGUAGGAUGCUCCUCUUUCGGGAGGGGGGACCUAUGUCUUCAUAUACCUCUUCGUGUAGAAAGUCUUAGAAUGUUUACUAUCAGAGAGUCGCGACUUCUAGGAGACGCGAAUCUUUUGAGAUAAAAGUUAAUUACAACUUUCAGCAAUGGAUCUCUUGGCUCUCGCAUCGAUGAAGAACGCAGCGAAAAGCGAUAUGUAAUGUGAAUUGCAGAUCUACAGUGAAUCAUCGAAUCUUUGAACGCACCUUGCGCUCCUCGGUGUUCCGAGGAGCAUGCCUGUUUGAGUGUCAGUAAAUUCUCAACCCCUCUCGAUUUGUUUCGAGGGGGAGCUUGGAUGGUGGGGGCUGCCGGAGACUAGGACUCGUCCUGGACUCGGGCUCUCCUUAAAUGCAUCGGCUUGCGGUCGACUUUCGACUUUGCGCGACAAGGCUUUCGGCGUGAUAAUGAUCGCCGUUCGCUGAAGCGCAUGAAUGAAGGUUCCGUGCCUCUAAUGCGUCGACUUAACGGUCUUCCUUAUUGACUUUGACCUCAAAUCAGGUAGGACUACCCGCUGAACUUAAGCAUAUCAAUAAGCGGAGGA
This 737-nucleotide ribosomal RNA is filed under the name Rhizopogon rubescens. RNAcentral's name for it is "eukaryotic LSU rRNA". The stretch from base 293 to 447 matches the Rfam family "5.8S ribosomal RNA". Lineage: Eukaryota; Fungi; Basidiomycota; Agaricomycetes; Boletales; Rhizopogonaceae. The record is from RNAcentral.